AUUGAACGCUGGCGGCAGGCCUAACACAUGCAAGUCGAACGGUAACAGGAAGAAGCUUGCUUCUUUGCUGACGAGUGGCGGACGGGUGAGUAAUGUCUGGGAAACUGCCUGAUGGAGGGGGAUAACUACUGGAAACGGUAGCUAAUACCGCAUAACGUCGCAAGACCAAAGAGGGGGACCUUCGGGCCUCUUGCCAUCGGAUGUGCCCAGAUGGGAUUAGCUUGUUGGUGGGGUAACGGCUCACCAAGGCGACGAUCCCUAGCUGGUCUGAGAGGAUGACCAGCCACACUGGAACUGAGACACGGUCCAGACUCCUACGGGAGGCAGCAGUGGGGAAUAUUGCACAAUGGGCGCAAGCCUGAUGCAGCCAUGCCGCGUGUAUGAAGAAGGCCUUCGGGUUGUAAAGUACUUUCAGCGGGGAGGAAGGGAGUAAAGUUAAUACCUUUGCUCAUUGACGUUACCCGCAGAAGAAGCACCGGCUAACUCCGUGCCAGCCGCCGCGGUAA
RNAcentral lists this ribosomal RNA (506 nucleotides) under uncultured bacterium. RNAcentral's name for it is "partial 16S ribosomal RNA". It matches the Rfam family "Bacterial small subunit ribosomal RNA", at positions 30 to 523 of the family's 1533-position model. The record is from RNAcentral.